Molecule: ribosomal RNA, 700 nt
Filed under: uncultured bacterium
Lineage: Bacteria
Description: bacterial SSU rRNA
Rfam family: Bacterial small subunit ribosomal RNA
Source: RNAcentral
AGUGGCAGACGGGUGAGUAACACGUAAGAAUUUGCCUUUAGGAGGGGGACAACAACUGGAAACGGUUGCUAAUACCCCAUAUGCUUUCGAGUGAAAUGGAUUUCCGCCUAAAGAGAAGCUUGCGGCUGAUUAGCUUGUUGGUAGGGUAAUGGCCUACCAAGGCGACGAUCAGUAUCUGGUUUGAGAGGACGAUCAGACACACUGGAACUGAGACACGGUCCAGACUCCUACGGGAGGCAGCAGUAGGGAAUUUUCCGCAAUGGGCGAAAGCCUGACGGAGCAAUACCGCGUGAGGGAUGACUGCCUAUGGGUUGUAAACCUCUUUUUUCAGGGAGGAAUAAAUGACGUGUACCUGAAGAAUAAGCAUCGGCUAACUCCGUGCCAGCAGCCGCGGUAAGACGGAGGAUGCAAGUGUUAUCCGGAAUCACUGGGCGUAAAGCGUCUGUAGGUGGCUCGGCAAGUCAACUGUUAAAUCUUGAAGCUCAACUUCAAAAUCGCAGUCGAAACUAUCGAACUAGAGUAUAGUAGAGGUAAAGGGAAUUUCCAGUGGAGCGGUGAAAUGCGUAGAGAUUGGAAAGAACACCGAUGGCGAAGGCACUUUACUGGGCUAUUACUGACACUCAGAGACGAAAGCUAGGGUAGCAAAUGGGAUUAGAUACCCCAGUAGUCCUAGCUGUAAACAAUGGAUACUAGGUGUUGA